UCCCACUCGGGGUCGCACCUGGAGAGUUUCCAGUACUCUACCAAUCUUGGCUAUAGGAGGGAGAGUCAAGCAGGGGCAUACACAUUCCAUUCCUAGCUUGACCUGUGGCUAGCAAGUGGAAGGCAAUCUGCUACAAGU
Ornithorhynchus anatinus (platypus) is the source of this 138-nucleotide small nucleolar RNA. The record is from RefSeq and is a predicted model, not a curated record. NCBI's taxonomy places the organism in Eukaryota, Metazoa, Chordata, Mammalia, Monotremata, Ornithorhynchidae.